This 417-nucleotide ribosomal RNA is filed under the name uncultured soil bacterium. RNAcentral's name for it is "bacterial SSU rRNA". It matches the Rfam family "Bacterial small subunit ribosomal RNA", at positions 26 to 432 of the family's 1533-position model. The record is from RNAcentral.
AGGACGAACGCUGGCGGCGCGCUUAAUACAUGCAAGUCGAGCGAGAACCGGACCUUCGGGUCCGGGGAAAGCGGCGAACGGGUGAGUAACACGUGGGUAAUCUGCCCUCGGUACUGGGAUAGCCCGGGGAAACCCGGAUUAAUACCGGAUAGCCUUUCGAGCUCUCGGGCUCGUUAGAAAAUGGUGGCUUCGGCUUCCGACUGAGGAUGAGCCCGCGGCGGAUUAGCUUGUUGGUGAGGUAAUGGCUCACCAAGGCUCCGAUCCGUAGCUGGUCUGAGAGGACGAUCAGCCACACGUGGGACUGAGACACGGCCCAGACUCCUACGGGAGGCAGCAGUAGGGAAUCUGCGCAAUGGGACAAGCCUGACGCAGCGACGCCGCGUGGACGGAAGAACGGCCGUUCGGGUUAGUAAACCG